GAUGAACGCUGGCGGCGUGCUUAACACAUGCAAGUCGAACGAAGCACUUUAUUUGAUUUCCUUCGGGACUGAUUAUUUUGUGACUGAGUGGCGGACGGUUGAGUAACGCGUGGGUAACCUGCCUUGUACAGGGGGAUAACAGUUGGAAACGGCUGCUAAUACCGCAUAAGCGCACAGCAUCGCAUGAUGCAGUGUGAAAAACUCCGGUGGUAUAAGAUGGACCCGCGUUGGAUUAGCUAGUUGGUGAGGUAACGGCCCACCAAGGCGACGAUCCAUAGCCGACCUGAGAGGGUGACCGGCCACAUUGGGACUGAGACACGGCCCAAACUCCUACGGGAAGCAGCAGUGGGGAAUAUUGCACAAUGGGCGAAAGCCUGAUGCAGCGACGCCGCGUGAGCGAAGAAGUAUUUCGGUAUGUAAAGCUCUAUCAGCAGGGAAGAUAAUGACGGUACCUGACUAAGAAGCACCGGCUAAAUACGUG
Molecule: ribosomal RNA, 481 nt
Filed under: uncultured bacterium
Lineage: Bacteria
Description: partial 16S ribosomal RNA
Rfam family: Bacterial small subunit ribosomal RNA
Source: RNAcentral